Molecule: ribosomal RNA, 409 nt
Filed under: uncultured microorganism
Description: bacterial SSU rRNA
Rfam family: Bacterial small subunit ribosomal RNA
Source: RNAcentral
CAGCCGCCGCGGUAAUACGUAGGGUGCGAGCGUUAAUCGGAUUUACUGGGCGUAAAGCGUGCGCAGGCGGCCCGUUAAGACAGGUGUGAAAUCCCUGGGCUCAACCUAGGAAUUGCGCUUGUGACUGGCGGGCUCGAGUACGGUAGAGGGGGUGGAAUUCCUGGUGUAGCAGUGAAAUGCGUAGAGAUCAGGAGGAACACCGAUGGCGAAGGCAGCCCCCUGGGCCUGUACUGACGCUCAUGCACGAAAGCGUGGGGAGCAAACAGGAUUAGAUACCCUGGUAGUCCACGCCCUAAACGAUGGGUACUAGCCGUUUGGUGCGCGAUAGCGCUGAGUGGCGAAGCUAACGCGAGAAGUACCCCGCCUGGGGAGUACGGCCGCAAGGUUGAAACUUAAAGGAAUUGGCGGG